This is a long non-coding RNA of Hibiscus syriacus, 447 nucleotides long. RefSeq lists it as uncharacterized. The transcript is spliced from 3 exons. The record is from RefSeq and is a predicted model, not a curated record. Lineage: Eukaryota; Viridiplantae; Streptophyta; Magnoliopsida; Malvales; Malvaceae.
AUCUCUUUCUUUUGUUUUCCAUUAAGCUACUCUUCCAUUCCCUUUCCAGUCAUUGAGAAGAAAGAGAGCCUUUAAAAACCCAACAAAUAGGUUUGCCCCAUAUUAAAAAAUCCAGACCCAUCUUCUUUACUGGUGCUUGCCGCUGAUAUGGCAGCAAUACUUGGCAUCACACAGUUGUUAUUCUUACAAUUUUGAAGUGAUGAACCAAGGAAGAACGAUGGAUAAAUCAUUCACGUUUCGAGUGGAAAUGCAACAAACUGAACCAGCCCCAAAGUACGAAUCAAUGGGCGAGCAGUUAAAAUGGUGCCUGCGAGUGAGGUAGUGAAAAGAAAGGCUCCUGCUAGUGGGAAAGUGGAGAAGGUGAAUGGUGUAAAGCAGAUUAUAAAUGGUGUAAGCAUAGUUAGGAGAAACAGCAGUCCAUCCCUUGUACAGAAGUCUGUAUCGAGA